Molecule: long non-coding RNA, 1237 nt
Organism: Equus caballus (horse)
Lineage: Eukaryota; Metazoa; Chordata; Mammalia; Perissodactyla; Equidae
Source: RefSeq, a predicted model, not a curated record
CCCGUGGACUCUGGGCUCCCGAAGUCGGGCGGGGCGGGGCUGGGAGAGACACGAUUGCUUCUGGGUUUGCUUGUGGCGGAACGACCAAGCGGUUUAAGGAUGGGGCUGGGGCCUUCAGAUACUUGGGGGUGGGGAUGUGUAGCAAUUUACAAUGAACUUUUGUAGGUUAGAGAGGGAAGGUGAGCUUAAAACGAUCUUUGGGCUCGUGGACAGUGGGCAGAUGAGGAAGCAGCACCAGGUGGUCCAGUACCUUCCCCAAGAUCACUGUGAGCCAGUGAUAAAGUUGGGAUUUGAACCCACGUUUCGUGGUUCCAAUUCCUUACUCUUAACUUCUGUAAUGCUAAGAGAGGGUAAUGGAGCUACUGUGGAUAGGAACAGAGCUGGAGAUGCCCGAGGCGACAGGGAAAGAAGGAAAGUUUCCACGCGUAGAAUGACAUCAAAAGUCUCACAAUAACUCUGGAGGUGUUUGGGGUGACUUGAAGGCAGUAACUUUUCCACGAUGUUUUAAAACUGUCACAGGCUUUGUGACUGGAGGUUGGCUGCUAGCUGCUUUGUUUUGCUGGUUUCCUGGUUCCUGAUGGCGUUCUGUGUAUUUGCGGCUGCUGGAUAAGGGACUCCAAGUAAAAUUGGGGGUUUCUUCACUGGCCUCCUGCCUUGAAACCAAUAUUCUCUCCCUUCAAAACUCUUUGCUGAGUUAUUCUGUUGCUGGUCUGCAGGGACCAAAUGUUCUGCUUGCUACUAAGUCUAACAACUGGUGCUGCGUCGUGCCCCAACGUGGGCUUCAUAAAGCCCUUUUGGUCCCACAGUUCACCUCCAGUUUUUAUUUAAAUAUUUAAUGACGCAAAAAUUGGUGAAAGUGCCUCCUUAGGGAAUCUUGGGAAAGUACAGGGAUGUAAUCAAAUGAUUUGCAAAUUGUACUUAUUUAUUUAUAACUCUAAUUUGAAAAGAAGGAGCUGAGUUAUUAAAGGGGAUGUUCACAUUUUACAGAAACCUUAUCCUAAGGAAUGAGGGGUAAUCAUUCUUAAGAAAAGGGGGAAAUGCCAAGUGAUUUCCUAGAGUGAUUGCUUCUUAUCCUUCCUGUGUUGUAAUGGUUGUUUGUGCCGGCAAUUUACAAAGCUAUUUUUUCUGCUGUCUGCUAAAUAUGUCUCCAUCUGCUUAAUUCUGCUGUGGGGUCUCAGUUUGACCGCAGGAUUCUGGUUAUUUUCAUGCCAAAAAUCCACACCCAAGUUCUGUUUCC